This is a long non-coding RNA of Podarcis raffonei (Aeolian wall lizard), 931 nucleotides long. RefSeq lists it as uncharacterized. The record is from RefSeq and is a predicted model, not a curated record. Lineage: Eukaryota; Metazoa; Chordata; Lepidosauria; Squamata; Lacertidae. The transcript has 2 exons.
GUCCAACUCCCUGCAGUGCCCAAUGUGGGGCUCGAACCCACGACCCUGAAAUUAGGAGUCUCUUGCUCAGUUACUGACGGAGCUAUCUUCGUUGCUCUUGUUGGGUUUCUUCCCCUUCCCAGGUCAACUGUUCGAGAUCGGUUGAGGCUCUCUAAGGGGGUCUGUUCUUCAUUAAACCCCAUCCAACCAAUUAAGGCGAGCCUUCGGUGGUUGCCCGAAGUGCGAAUUUCGCUGUAGAAGCCUGGACAAGAAACACCAUUUGGCUCUGGCUUGGAGAAGACAUGCAUAUCUAUUUCCGAGGAAGCUUUAGCCACCGCGUGGGAGUGAGUAACCAACCAGUUAUAAAAUGGUAAGCGGAAAUCUGCGGGCGGCUUUAUUGCUGUCGUUUGGCGCCCCCAUCCGUUUUCUCAGCGGCGUUAACACGCGCGAUAUAAUUAUUUUACUUCUUCUCCCGGACCCCCUUUCCUUCGCCAGCCUAAAACCUUCAGAAAACCGACGUCUUCAGCACCCUCUCCUAGAAUCACGAAGCCCCCCCCCCUAACCUCCGAAUUGAUUUCCAACCCAGCCGUCUCCUGGCCCUUCUCCUUUCGAGGAAAAUAGCUGCGGUGCCGAGCGCGCGUUUCGAACUGAGACCCUUCAGCCGAAGGAGGGCUGCAAUCGUCUGGACUCCCCAACUCCCCUUUAUUAGUGUUAUUUUAUAUUUUGCACCUUUUAAAGAAUAGCAGUCCUCGAGUUUAUGUGAGACCUCUUUCAAAGUUUGGCUCUCUUCUCGUGAGAGGGGAAAGUUUAGUGCGCGCCGUAAAAGGCAGUUUAAUAAUCAUCAGCUAAGUAGAUAUUGCGUAACGACGCCGACCGCAGCCAAUGGCAGCUGGUCAUUACUCUCCAGAAAGAAAGCAAAAUAAUACUAAUAAAGUCGUUAUUUGAUGUUUUA